RNAcentral lists this ribosomal RNA (398 nucleotides) under uncultured bacterium. RNAcentral describes it as "partial 16S ribosomal RNA". It matches the Rfam family "Bacterial small subunit ribosomal RNA", at positions 28 to 526 of the family's 1533-position model. The record is from RNAcentral.
GACGAACGCUGGCGGCGUGCUUAACACAUGCAAGUCGAACGGAGUGGCGAACGGGUGAGUAAUACGUGAGUAACCUGCCUUCUUCUUUGGGAUAAGCCUGGGAAACUGGGUCUAAUACUGGAUAGUGGGGGAUGGGCUCACGGCCUAUCAGCUUGUUGGUGGGGUGAUGGCCUACCAAGGCGGUGACGGGUAGCCGGCCUGAGAGGGUGACCGGCCACAUUGGGACUGAGAUACGGGCCAGACUCCUACGGGAGGCAGCAGUGGGGAAUAUUGCACAAUGGACGGAAGUCUGAUGCAGCGACGCCGCGUGAGCGAAGAAGGUUUUCGAAUCGUAAAGCUCUGUCCGGUAUCAUAGGAGGAAGCCCCGGCUAAAUACGUGCCAGCAGCCGCGGUAAUAC